AUCAAUGAUGCAACCAUAAUCUGCGUUAUCUUUCUGUAACUCCUUUGGAGGAUUUGAAGAUGAUACUUAUCUACUGAGAUCUGGUAAAAUAGCUUUAUUGUUUUCUGCAAGGAUAUUAUUCUAAACAUUCUGAAGCAUAUUUAUGAAUAACAAGAAAAAUUGGGGUUUGUUUCUCAUGCCAAUUUCAAGUCCUAAAAGUCUCAUUCUUUUUCAGUUUAUUUUUUUUAUUUUAUAUUGGGUGGAUGAUGUGUCUGUAGUCUGCGUUAUCUUUCUGUAACUUUGUUGAAGGAAUUGAAGAUGACACUGAUUACUGAGAUCUGGGAGACUACGUAAGCAUGUUGUUCCCUUCUAGAGGUUCAUUCAUUUUUGUUAUUCUUCCAAGUGCAAUCCUUUGAGAAUUCUAAUGCUUCUGAAUCUUUUUUUCUUCCCUUCUGUUUUUUUACAUAUUCCUAGUAAAGUAGUAAUCAUUUUGUUGACUUCACUUUUCUAGUUUCUAGCUUGCAUUUUGAUUCAGUAUUAGAGUUUCUUUUCUACUAUACGAUAACUUGAUUUAUUUUUAUUUGUUUCAGACCAACUCUGCAGUUACCUAUGAUUCGUAUUAAACAUAUUUGUGUAAUUGUAUGAAAAUAUGCUUAUGCAACCACCGCCUGUUUAUUUUACAGUAAUAUGUAGUAACUAAGAAUCUAAGAAUUCCUAAUAUGAAUGGAGUGAUGAUUCUCAAUAUUGGCUUUAAAACUUUAAUUAAUUUUUGAGCUGGCAAUUGACCAGUUGCAGUGUUAGCCACAUCAAGUGUGUUUUUAGUGUAUUGUUUAAACAUAUCACUUCAGGCGCAUGGUUUGCCCCUUUGCCUAGAGCAAAUUAGAGCGGAGGUGGUUUUAGGACUAAAGUCUUAUCAAGAUAUAGUCAUACUUUUGACCAAUGAAAAAUGAUAACUGACUUGAUUAAAUCAAGAUUUUGCUUUGUGAUAUCUGUUCAUUAUCAUUAGGAAUCCCAAGCAAAAUUCUUGAUCUUUUAGUUGAGUUUGUAGUCAGAAGUUCUCGGUUGGGUGGAUUAGUGAAAGAACAGGAGAAGUCCUCAGUCCUAGGGUGACAUGCUAAUGGGCCAAUAUUCGUGAGCUACUUACCUACCUUUUGAGAUAAUAAUUGUAGGUUUAUAUUGACUAAAAAAUGCCAAAAAUACAAGUAAGAUUCCUAUUUCAAAGUUUUUCUUCCUGCCAACAUAUGUAACAACAGAGUGAUGCGCCCUGUUUGAUGUGCUUAAACUAGCCAACUCUGAACAUUAGGUUCUUUUACCAUCCUAUUUGCCUGCUUGCCAAGUCUCAUGAUUAGUAUGACACUUAAUCACCAGUUGUGUGGUUUAGUGUCAGGUCAUUAGCUGGUCGCAGAAAGCUGCUUGAUCAUCCUAUGAUGCCAUCUCAUCCUUUUUAUGCUUGUUGGCCAUUCCCCUUUUGAUGGGGAAAUGAUCAAUUAAUUGAUCAAUAUUGUCCUGUCUCCAGCUUCAGUGCAUCAUCAGAAUUUCAAAUCAUCCAAAUAGGAGCUUCUGUCUAUUUUCAAGAUUAUGCUCUCUGGCUUGUGUAAUUUGCCCUCUGUUAAAAGCCCUAAUUACGGCCUUUUUGGGUACAUCUAGCUGACCCGCUGCAGGACGACCUAAAGCGCAUUAUUGCCACCGUGCCGUGGAGCUUGUUAAGUUUGGCAUGAUAAGAAGUAAAUGCAACGGGUACACUAAUCAGUAAGAUUGAUGAAGUUGCAAUUAAUGCAAAAGUAGCUAAUUGGAAGGCAACAAUAGUCAUGUUUGUAAUCCUUCAAGCUACCAACAAAUGAACUAUACUAUUUGACUUCUCUUU
Molecule: non-coding RNA, 1843 nt
Organism: Phoenix dactylifera (date palm)
Lineage: Eukaryota; Viridiplantae; Streptophyta; Magnoliopsida; Arecales; Arecaceae
Source: RefSeq, a predicted model, not a curated record